AUUGAACGCUGGCGGCAGGCCUAACACAUGCAAGUCGAACGAGUGGCGGACGGGUGAGUAAUGUCUGGGAAACUGCCUGGUGGAGGGGGAUAACUACUGGAAACGGUAGCUAAUACCGCAUACCAUCAGAUGUGCCCAGAUGGGAUUAGCGUGUUGGUGGGGUAACGGCUCACCAGUGUGACGCUCCCUAGCUGGUCUGAGAGGAGGACCAGCCACAAUGGAACUGAGACACGGGCCAGACACCGACGGGAGGCAGCAGUGGGUAAUAUUGGACAAUGGGCGCAAGCCUGAUGCAGCCAUGCCGCGUGUAUGAAGAAGGCCUUCGGGUUGUAAAGUACUUUCAGCGGGGAGGCGUUACCCGCAGAGGAAGCACAGGGUAACUCCGUGCCAGCAGCCGCGGUAAUAC
Molecule: ribosomal RNA, 406 nt
Filed under: uncultured bacterium
Lineage: Bacteria
Description: partial 16S ribosomal RNA
Rfam family: Bacterial small subunit ribosomal RNA
Source: RNAcentral